GGUCGCAUGGUGUAGCUGGUCAUCACAUCAGUCUAACAGUCGUUGUGCACUGAAGGUCCCAGGUUCGAGCCCUGGUGCGAUCA
Non-coding RNA from Viridothelium virens, 83 nucleotides. The record is from the annotation of a GenBank genome assembly. Lineage: Eukaryota; Fungi; Ascomycota; Dothideomycetes; Trypetheliales; Trypetheliaceae.